AAGUCGUAACAAGGUUUCCGUAGGUACGUUAUAACCAAAUUUCCUUUUCUUAUCCUUUAACCCCAUCCCUCUUCUGAAACUAUGCUAACUUUUUUAAAGGUGAACCUGCGGAAGGAUCAUUAAUGAGUUAGGGUCUUUUAGGCCCGAUCUCCAACCCUUUGUAUAACUACCAUGUUGCUUUGGCGGGCCCGUCUUUAACCGGACCGCCGGGGGUCUCUUGACCUCUGGCCAGUGCUCGUCAGUAGCCUACACAAAACUCUUUUAACCAUGUUAAAUCUGAAACUAGUUAAAUAAACUAAA
Molecule: unclassified non-coding RNA, 300 nt
Filed under: Cladophialophora sp.
Lineage: Eukaryota; Fungi; Ascomycota; Eurotiomycetes; Chaetothyriales; Herpotrichiellaceae
Description: partial contains internal transcribed spacer 1
Source: RNAcentral